Molecule: ribosomal RNA, 465 nt
Filed under: uncultured bacterium
Lineage: Bacteria
Description: partial 16S ribosomal RNA
Rfam family: Bacterial small subunit ribosomal RNA
Source: RNAcentral
GAUGAACGCUGGCGGCGUGCUUAACACAUGCAAGUCGAACGGAAAGGCUCCUGCUUGCAGGGGUACUCGAGUGGCGAACGGGUGAGUAACACGUGGGUGAUCUGCCCUGCACUUCGGGAUAAGCCUGGGAAACUGGGUCUAAUACCGGAUAGGACGAUGGUUUGGAUGCCAUUGUGGAAAGUUUUUCGGUGUGGGAUGAGCUCGCGGCCUAUCAGCUUGUUGGUGGGGUAAUGACCUACCAAGGCGUCGACGGGUAGCCGGCCUGAGAGGGUGUACGGCCACAUUAGGCCGGAGAUAAGACACAGACUCGUACGGGAGGCAGCGGUGGGGAGUAUUGCACAAUGGGCGCAAGCCUGAUGCAGCGACGCCGCGUGGGGGAUGACGGCCUUCGGGUUGUAAACUCCUGUCGCUAGGGACGAAGCGAUAGUGACGGUACCGGGAGAAGAAGCACCGGCUAACUACGUG